UUCUCACUUUCUCUCUCUACUUUCUCUAUACAAAAGACCCACUUUCUCUCUCUAUAAGUUUUUCUCUCUAAAUUUGUCUCUCUCUAGAUUAUGUCUCUCUUCUGAAGUUUUCUAGAUCUUAGAAAGAUCUUCUAAUAGCUUUGAUAGGUCCUUGUGAAGGGAUCUUGAUCUUUGAUUGUUGAGUAGGUUGUCGGUCUCCACCUUG
This 205-nucleotide long non-coding RNA is filed under the name Elaeis guineensis (African oil palm). RNAcentral describes it as "long non-coding RNA (EGUI_LNC047796)". Lineage: Eukaryota; Viridiplantae; Streptophyta; Magnoliopsida; Arecales; Arecaceae. The record is from RNAcentral.